CAUGCCUGUUUGAGUGUCUUG
RNAcentral lists this ribosomal RNA (21 nucleotides) under salal root associated fungus UBCtraSeq51. RNAcentral describes it as "partial 5.8S ribosomal RNA". Lineage: Eukaryota; Fungi; Basidiomycota; Agaricomycetes; Polyporales. RNAcentral also lists the same sequence under 1 other name. The record is from RNAcentral.